GUGGGGAAUCUUGCGCAAUGGGCGAAAGCCUGACGCAGCCAUGCCGCGUGAAUGAUGAAGGUCUUAGGAUUGUAAAAUUCUUUCACCGGGGACGAUAAUGACGGUACCCGGAGAAGAAGCUCCGGCUAACUUCGUGCCAGCAGCCGCGGUAAUACGAAGGGGGCUAGCGUUGCUCGGAAUUACUGGGCGUAAAGGGCGCGUAGGCGGACAGCUUAGUCAGAGGUGAAAGCCCAGGGCUCAACCUUGGAAUUGCCUUUGAUACUGGCUGUCUUGAGUUUGGGAGAGGUGAGUGGAACUCCGAGUGUAGAGGUGAAAUUCGUAGAUAUUCGGAAGAACACCAGUGGCGAAGGCGACUCACUGGCCCGUUACUGACGCUGAGGCGCGAAAGCGUGGGGAGCAAACAGGAUUAGAAACCCUGGUAGUCC
This 425-nucleotide ribosomal RNA is filed under the name uncultured bacterium. RNAcentral describes it as "partial 16S ribosomal RNA". It matches the Rfam family "Bacterial small subunit ribosomal RNA", at positions 354 to 796 of the family's 1533-position model. The record is from RNAcentral.